ACCGACCGGAUACCAGCACAGCCCAAAGGGGGAAGUGGCUACAAGCACAGUUAGGCCCCUGAGUCGCGAUGCUCAGGGGUCCCUCUAGACGUACGAGCAACUCCAAUAUCCCUACUAAGAAGCUGACAAUUUGAGACUCCCGAACUCCUUUGGCACUCUGCGUCGACAGGGCCCUCCUCGUGCGUACCUUCGCCGCCAUCGGACCGCCUGGGCGGCCCA
Molecule: long non-coding RNA, 219 nt
Filed under: Hordeum vulgare
Lineage: Eukaryota; Viridiplantae; Streptophyta; Magnoliopsida; Poales; Poaceae
Description: long non-coding RNA (HVUL_LNC011625)
Source: RNAcentral